CCUACGGGGGGCUGCAGUAAGGAAUAUUGGUCAAUGGAGGAAACUCUGAACCAGCCAUCCCGCGUGAAGGAUGAAGGGGCUCUGCCUUGUAAACUUCUUUUGUCUGGGGCGAAAAAGCUCGAUUUAUCGAGAACUGACGGUACCAGAAGAAUAAGCACCGGCUAACUCCGUGCCAGCCGCCGCGGUAAUACGGAGGUUGCAAGCGUUAUCCGGUAUAAAGGGGUCGUAAGGGUCUGUGGAAGGCAGAGGAGAAAGGCUGUGGCUUAACCAUGGAAUUGCCAUUGAUACUGCAGAGCUUGAAUGAGGUUGAGGUUGGCGGAAUGUGACAUGUAGCGGUGAAAUGCUUAGAUAUGUCAUGGAACACCGAUUGCGAAGGCAGCGGACUGGACCUAUAUUGACGCUGAGGCACGAAAGCGUGGGGAGCGAACAGGAUUAGAUACCCUAGUAGUC
RNAcentral lists this ribosomal RNA (450 nucleotides) under uncultured bacterium. RNAcentral's name for it is "partial 16S ribosomal RNA". It matches the Rfam family "Bacterial small subunit ribosomal RNA", at positions 338 to 795 of the family's 1533-position model. The record is from RNAcentral.